Molecule: ribosomal RNA, 429 nt
Filed under: Actinomycetes bacterium
Lineage: Bacteria; Bacillati; Actinomycetota; Actinomycetes
Also listed under: 1 other name
Description: Actinobacteria bacterium partial 16S ribosomal RNA
Rfam family: Bacterial small subunit ribosomal RNA
Source: RNAcentral
UAGGGAAUCUUCCGCAAUGGGCGGAAGCCUGACGGAGCAACGCCGCGUGAGUGAUGAAGGUCUUCGGAUCGUAAAACUCUGUUAUUAGGGAAGAACAAAUGUGUAAGUAACUAUGCACGUCUUGACGGUACCUAAUCAGAAAGCCACGGCUAACUACGUGCCAGCAGCCGCGGUAAUACGUAGGUGGCAAGCGUUAUCCGGAAUUAUUGGGCGUAAAGCGCGCGUAGGCGGUUUUUUAAGUCUGAUGUGAAAGCCCACGGCUCAACCGUGGAGGGUCAUUGGAAACUGGAAAACUUGAGUGCAGAAGAGGAAAGUGGAAUUCCAUGUGUAGCGGUGAAAUGCGCAGAGAUAUGGAGGAACACCAGUGGCGAAGGCGACUUUCUGGUCUGUAACUGACGCUGAUGUGCGAAAGCGUGGGGAUCAAACAGG